RNAcentral lists this transfer RNA (74 nucleotides) under Loxodonta africana (African savanna elephant). It matches the Rfam family "tRNA". From Rfam's summary of the family: Transfer RNA (tRNA) molecules are approximately 80 nucleotides in length. Their secondary structure includes four short double-helical elements and three loops (D, anti-codon, and T loops). Lineage: Eukaryota; Metazoa; Chordata; Mammalia; Proboscidea; Elephantidae. The record is from Rfam by way of RNAcentral.
CCCUGGAUGAUGCAAAUGGUUAACAUGCUUGGCUGCUAACUAAAAGGUUGAUGGUUCAAGUCCACCUAGAGGUG